This 253-nucleotide ribosomal RNA is filed under the name uncultured bacterium. RNAcentral describes it as "partial 16S ribosomal RNA". It matches the Rfam family "Bacterial small subunit ribosomal RNA", at positions 524 to 776 of the family's 1533-position model. The record is from RNAcentral.
GACGUAGGAGGCGAGCGUUGUCCGGAUUCCUUGGGCGUAAAGAGCGCGCAGGCGGCUUGGUAAGUCGGAUGUGAAAUCCCGAGGCUCAACCUCGGGUCUGCAUCCGAUACUGCCCGGCUAGAGGUAGGUAGGGGAGAUCGGAAUUCCUGGUGUAGCGGUGAAAUGCGCAGAUAUCAGGAGGAACACCGGUGGCGAAGGCGGAUCUCUGGGCCUGUACUGACGCUGAGGAACGAAAGCGUGGGGAGCGAACAGG